GGUUUGGCUGAAGGCAGUGGAGUUAUCUCAAUUGAUUGUUCACAGUUAGUUAUAGAUCCAAUACCUUAUUCUACUCUUUUCCUCCUUCUCACUACUGCACUUGACUAGUUAAAA
RNAcentral lists this Y RNA (114 nucleotides) under Aotus nancymaae (Ma's night monkey). Its description in RNAcentral is "Y RNA (ENSANAG00000007697.1)". It matches the Rfam family "Y RNA". From Rfam's summary of the family: Y RNAs are components of the Ro ribonucleoprotein particle (Ro RNP), in association with Ro60 and La proteins. The Y RNAs and Ro60 and La proteins are well conserved, but the function of the Ro RNP is not known. Lineage: Eukaryota; Metazoa; Chordata; Mammalia; Primates; Aotidae. The record is from RNAcentral.